GUAACGUUUACUUCACCCAUACAAUUACUCUCUUUUCAUUUUACUCCAAAGGGAUUUCUUAUUUCUUUUUGACAUUACUCCUAUUCUAAGGGUCAGCGGUCAGUCAUGGAAAUCGACCGUUUGAGGGCUGCCCGUCCUUUCCACGAUCUUUAAUAAACUGCCCGACUUCAAUCAUUACGGGACCCAACCAGACUUUGCUCCUAAGCCAAAAUCAUCACCUCAUAGACUCUAAUACUUUUCUUCAAUACCCCCAAAGAUUUUAUAAUCUUAAUACUAACAUUUAAUAGUCAGAUAUAAUGCCCACGAUCAAAUAUUUAUAUACAUAUGAAGAAUAACAUAUAUAAACCUAACUCAAUAUGUAUGUAUAUGUAUAUGUAUGCCUCAUUCUCCUGUCAUGCACGUCUCCUUCACGUUACUUUCUUAUAUAUCUUUCCGUUAAAAAGCAAAGAAAAGAGAAGGUCAAUAUAUUCCUCCAUGAACCACCAUAUGGUGAGAUUAUCAUAAGGUGAUGUAUUUCUUUUUUUAUUUUGCAUGCAUAUCAG
Molecule: unclassified non-coding RNA, 542 nt
Filed under: Hevea brasiliensis (rubber tree)
Lineage: Eukaryota; Viridiplantae; Streptophyta; Magnoliopsida; Malpighiales; Euphorbiaceae
Source: RNAcentral